AUCCCCCCGCCUCAGUCUCCCGAGUAGCUGGGACACAGGACGGGAAGCCUCCCGCACAGGCCCAGCCCUGCUCUGGCUGCCCAGAUCUGCACUCUGCAGCCUCGGCCACAGGAUCAGUUCAGACCCCUCACACCCCUGCCCCCGCUCACCUUGGCGAUGACCAGGGUCUUGCAUCCUGCGUCCUGCUCUGUUCCCAAACACAAGUGUGUACUGACAAGUGCUUGGCUCUUAAAUCACUUCUGUGCUGUGCCCACCCUGGCCCACCCUGCCGGGACCCUCCCUUUCCCACCCUGCCCUGCAGUCCCGUCCGCUGGAGGAGCUGAAUGAUGGAUGAAUCCUUCAUAACUGAUCAGUGAAUUUGCCCGUGGGGCGAAGUUCUGAUGGGCAUUUACAUAGACCUCUGCUGGUUUCUCCUGGACAUGCUGGGAACACAGUGGUGACCACGGAGAUUUUGCACCAUGGCUAUUUAUUUGGCCAAUAAAGACAUAAACAGAUGAACAAGCUCACUGGUACUAUUUUGUGAAAACAGACAUUUAAAUAUAAGCAAGUUCACGGCAGCAUGAUUCACAAUCACCCAAGAGGAGAAAACGCUGAAACAUCGAUCCACUGAUGGAUAAACAAAAUGCCGUGUGGCCGGGCGCGGUGGCUCAUGCCUGU
Molecule: long non-coding RNA, 657 nt
Organism: Macaca mulatta (Rhesus monkey)
Lineage: Eukaryota; Metazoa; Chordata; Mammalia; Primates; Cercopithecidae
Source: RefSeq, a predicted model, not a curated record